UCGGCCUAUGGAUAAGCAUCCUUUGUGGUGUAUUCUUAUCACGUUGUUCGUUCCAGACAUAGACAUACCCCUUUGAAGUAGGGAAACCAUAGUUAUCCUCUCUAUUCUCCUACCAUCACCUAUAUAUUAGAUUUCUCUACACUCUAUUCCCAUAUUAUCACCCAUUGUUAUCUUACCUUUAAUAUUGUUCUUAUUCAAUUUUAUCAUCUUUCCUAUUUACACCUACCUAUCUAUCUAGGUUAACUUAGAGCAUAGAUCAGUUCUCCCGUUUCCCUGUGGAUACGAUAAAACCUUUAACUGGGUAAAAGCUACAACGGUAUCCGUGCGCUUGCGGAAUUAUCUGUGUGCGUAUAAAUACCAUAGUACACUCUAGUGCCAUGCUGGGGACGACAACCUAGUAUUCAAGUGGUGUUAGCAAAUGUCAACAAGCAUUUUUUGCGUCGUUGCCGGGGAGACGGUUGCUGAGUUGACUAUGAACUAGCUUAAUCAUUUUCUAAAAAAAUAUAAAAAAAAUAUAAAAUAUAUACUUUUCCUUUUAUCUUUUGCCUUAUCUCUGCUAUUCUUUCUUCUUAUCUAAUCCUUGAUCUCUGGUCUAUCAUGAAUUCAAACAUGUCUAUCUAUGAAUUAAUAGACCUACGGGCAUACAUCUCGAACCACCAAAAUCUUCAAAGCCUAUCAUGACAUCUAGUUUUGAGAUAAGCCCGAAAUACAAAGAAUUUCUUCAAAAACAACCUUUCUCAGGAGAAGGUGAGGAAAACCCAUACACAC
Molecule: long non-coding RNA, 768 nt
Filed under: Sorghum bicolor (sorghum)
Lineage: Eukaryota; Viridiplantae; Streptophyta; Magnoliopsida; Poales; Poaceae
Description: long non-coding RNA (SBIC_LNC015942)
Source: RNAcentral